Molecule: long non-coding RNA, 1174 nt
Organism: Anas platyrhynchos (mallard)
Lineage: Eukaryota; Metazoa; Chordata; Aves; Anseriformes; Anatidae
Source: RefSeq, a predicted model, not a curated record
CCCAUCCCUGUUUCCUGCUGCUUUUUCAUUUCACGGCCAUCGAGGUACUUUUUUAACCACCGCUGUCCGAAACACGAGCUCACGCUGCGUUCCGACACGCCACGAGCAGGGACCGAGCAAUCCUGCGAAACCCGCGUGCCUGGACGGCAGCGACCUCGGCUAGGCUGAGGGUGCUGAACACUUGCGGAUGCGGCUCGGGUCUGCGGGGCUUCUGCUCCGAAUACGCGAACCACCCGGGGGCGACCGUCCCCGGAGGCUGCCUUGUGCCGCUCGGGGAACGUGCAGGUGCUGGGCACCUCCUGAGUACUGCGACACGGCCUGGAUAAAAAAGGCUGAAACAACACUGAAAAUGAUUGCAUCGUUGCAGACAAGAUCUGCAAAGGACAAAAAGAUCGGUGGAAUGUAAAUGAUGCUGACAACAUUUCUCAGAGGCAUCCAAAUUACUUGUUAAACUGGGGCACGGGAGGCAUUUGAGACAGGCAGACUCAGACUGACGCAUUUGGGAACAAGGACCGAGGUCCGUGACCGCAGUGCCGAAGGCGAGAUGCUCUGGCUUGGAAAGCAGCACCUGUAAAAGGAUUCGGGGCUAUAAUGGUGACGCAACUCGACAAGAAUGGUGCUGUAGCAAAAGAAGUUCAUGCAUUCUUUGCACAUAUAAACAAGGGAUUAGUGAGCAUAUGCAGAGGCGAUACCACUUCUGAAUACACCCUUGGUAAAACAAGCACUGAGACAUGCUUUCUGGUUUCUGUGUCGCAUUUCUCAAGAUACUGAAAAAUUGGGGUGCAGAAGAGAACCGAAUAAAUGAAGGCUGAAGAUGAUGCAGUUGCAGUCCUAAUGCAUUCAGUUCUUCGACAAUAUAACUGGAUAAUGUGAUUAUGAUAUAUAACUACUGUAAUGGAAGAAAGCUUGACAUUAAAAGCUUUUUAAACUGUAACAGACCUUAACUCGAGCAUUUUCUGGCUUCUGAGAUUUGACUUUGCAAUCUGAGCACUUGUUUUCUGUUUUUGUUUGUUUGUUUUGUUUUGUUUUCUCUUGCAUAUUUUCAUAAGAUCAUGUGAAUCAUUCGUACUUGCUUUUUUAUUUAUUUAUUUGAAACUUACUUUCACAUGGAGAUCACAAACAACAGCAUAUAGCAAUGCUGGCUAAAAUAAAUGCUGAAACCUUUUUAUCAAAA